GUUAGAUAAAGGACAAUUGGUGA
Molecule: non-coding RNA, 23 nt
Filed under: Arabidopsis thaliana (thale cress)
Lineage: Eukaryota; Viridiplantae; Streptophyta; Magnoliopsida; Brassicales; Brassicaceae
Source: RNAcentral